UGGUGCUAUUUUAGCCUUUAAUUUGUGGCUUGAUGUUAAGUUUUUUUUUUUGGCACUGGAAUAAGUUUUCCGGCGACUAAUUUUAAGGUUAUUUUGUUUCAAAUUUUGGAGUACUUGUGCUUUACAUAUCUAAAGUAUAAUAAUUUAACAGACAAUUGAGAUAGAUAAAAUGAUGGAUUCACGAGUAAUGUAUUUAUACGCCGACUCAAAAUUUCCUGGUACAUAUUAAGGUUUUUCUUUUUCAUUUUGUUUGGCUAGUAGAAAUUUUUUCUCGUUUAAGUUACAGUAGGAAUUAAUUUGUAGAGGAUGAAGGUUGGGGGUGAAAGAGGAGAGAAUGGAAGAACUUGGGUUGUAUUCCUAAUUGGAUUAGAGAUUAUAACCUGGUUAAAAAUUAAAAGAGAAAUAACUAGGGUCCACUGGAUCAGAAAAAACAAGGAAGGGAGUGGGCCCCAGCGCGUGUAUACAUACGCUUAUUUGUUGGUAUUUAACUUUCUAUUUUAUGUGAAUAGUGUCUUGGUAGAAUCUUUAUAUGCAUCAGAAUAAUUGUGCCUGAUUUGCCAUGCAUAUGUGGUUUUGACGAAGUUUGUCAUUUGCUACCAACUGAGUUGAAGAAUUAAACAGUGUCUUACCAAAAAUCUGAGAUAUCGAAACUGUUGUUGGAAAAUUGGGUCUCUCGAUUUGCCCUUUACUUUUUCUUUUCAAUCUUUUUUAAUCUUCUUCAUUGUUUGCUUCCUGGAAUUUUGAAGUGGACUAUGCAGUCAAUGUGUUUGAUGAUAUGUCUGCCUAGUCUUAUUUAGUUUGUGUUGUUUAGUCAUUAACCAGAUUUCUAUACCUUUUUCUUUUGGUUUUGCUUGUUCUCUGUGUUUCAUGUUAUUUGUGUGCAUGUACAAUAUCUAUUUAUUAUACACUCUCCAAAAUACCUAUGCAUGAUCGGCGAGAUACAAUCAAAAAGCCUAAAGGGAGGGCAAAAAAAUUGUGUGCUAGCAGUAAUAAAGGAAUUCAAGGUAUAAAAUUGAUGUAGGGAGCAUUAAUUUGGACCAAUGCAAGCAGGAAUAACUUCUGCUAGCAUGUCAUAAUUGACUAAGAGACGUAUUCAAGCUAUAUGAUUAUGAUAUAUGGUUUGCCAACGAUUAGCGGUUUCACAAAGGUUUGAAUAGGACUUGGAGUGCACUGUCAGUGUGUAUUAUUGCUAAUGAGAAUGAAUGGGACGUUUAUGGGGUCGUCCUGCAGGUUGAUGCAAUUGUGAAGAUUAUUUGGUUACACAUGGCUACCAUGUGAGCUACAAGAUGAUGAUGAAAUGACUGUAAAAUAUGCUGAAGAGGCUCACCAAGUCAUGUUGAGGUAGUUUAGAAAGCAUCUCAAGUGUGUUUUUCUCAUUGUGAUUAUCUUCUGUUUUGUUUUAAAUAGGUUCUGAAUAUACACUUAAGUUCCUUACUGGGUUGUGUUUCUUGGUGUUGGUAACUUAACUCAUUUACUAUUAUGUACAUAUAAUUAACUUAGUCUUGCAUGUGUGGACCUUUAACACGUUUUGCAUAGAUCCUUACAUUCUUUCGCGUUUGAAACCAGCUUGACCAGAGAUGAUACGUACUUGACCUGGAUGGUUAUUGGUACAUGUAUAUACAACUUAUCCACUUACAUAAAACGAAUGCUUAUCAGAAUUCAAUAUACAAAUGCUAAUUUUAAAGUACUUCAAACUGUAAAACUAAAAUUUCAAGUGUGUUCUUUCUUUAAUGGAAAGUAAAAAGUACCUCUCAUUUCCUUCGUUUCUUCUUAUAGAGAUUUUUGAACAUUAAAACCAUAUACUGGGAAAAUGUGGCAUAUAAAGUAUUUGAAAUAUUAAGGUAUGUUUUUUAAAUUUUGUGAGUUGAAUUUACAGAAGGGAAAUUUGAAUAGCAAGAGGAAGGCGAAAAGAAACUAAAGAGAAUGAAGAAAGAUGUGAAAGGGUGUAUUUCUACUUCUUUGUCACUUGAAGUGGUCUAUUGCAAGCGAUAGUAAUUUUUUAUAUGUUAAUACCAUUAAUUAUGUUCUCUAUCUAGAAGUCAGUGAUUCAUUUGCAUUCAUUUUGCUUCUUCUAGACUGGUUUUUAAAGCUAAAAGAACAAAAAGCUGGCUCCUCCUGCUCAAAAGUUGAUGGAGAAUGUGGUUCCCUCGAAUUUCUUUUUAAUAGUUUCUUUACUUGAGAGGUUUCUUCCAUGCUAUCAUAUUUAGCACUUGGUUGACGUUUACAUAUAACUGGACUUCUGAACCGGUUUGUGGUACUAGCAUAAAGAAUUUUAGAUGUCCUGGCUUGCAACAUUAUGAGAUAUGAGCUUUCAGAGUCUCUUCGCUGGUAAGUUUUACUUAAUUCCAAUAACUAUUUCUCGGUGAGUUUUACUUAAUUCCUCUAACUUUUUCUCGGUGACCAUUUAAACCUUUAUUCCUACUUCUAUGGAGAUCAAUGAUGUAAAAUCUAUACAUGCAUGAAAUUAUUUUGUAUUUUUGCUCCAUUUGUCUUUUCAAAAUUUUCUUUUCAAUUCAGUGUGUAAGAUUUAGAUAUUGGAGAAUAGUAUUAUACGUAUCUGCUUUUUGCUCUUUCUUCGUGUUUUUUUUUUUUUCUUUUUCCUGGUAGGUUCUAUAUAUAGAUGUGGUAAUUUGUUCAAACACUUCUACGAAAAUUUUCACAUUAGAUGCACAAACUGCAAUAACAAUGACCACUGAUCACAUUGAAUUUCUAUCUGGGAAAAGGAGGGCGGAACUUUGAUCCCGCUAAUGUAUUUGACAAUAUACCAAAAAGGAUUGAAUAUUUUCUUAAAUUUUAGCUAAAAUUGAUGUUAUUUUCUCCUCCAAACUUUUUGUAGGAGCUUUAGUGGCGAUAACACAGAAAAUAAUUCAGGUGUACACCAAGACGGAUUGCUGGAGGAGGAAGAUCUGUGUGAGGCUCAAAAGAAAUUCAUUUGCUCAGCUGCCAUUACUACUUUGAGUAUGUGAGUGUCUCUAUUGUAUUUGGAGAACUCAGAUAGUUGUGCAUGACCACUACAAGCACAACUUAAGGCUCUACAACUUUCAAGAUGGAGGAGAAACAAAAAAUAGUCUGUGGUCGUUCAAUUCUCGGACUACCUAAGUUUAGGCAUUGUUGGUCUUUUGAACAUUUUAAUAAUAAAAUAUUAUAUUAGAGUGUUGCCUUGUUUAAGUGCAUUUUAAUGAUCCAUUUCCCACGUUCAUUAUGUUGGCACAAUGUGGCCAAUUCUUUUCUUCUUCCCACUAACUCAUUACUCACCCAUACUGAUCCUUUUCUAUGUCCUGUAACUCAUGCCAUAAUUCUUCCAUUAUCUACACAUAAUUACCCCAUUUUCAUCCAAUUCAAUUCAAGGAUGAAUUUCUUUACCUAUAAAUAGUGAGUCAUCCUUACCUUGUGGUGUGAAAAAUAUUGGAAAGUUCUUGACAAAGUGAGGAUAAAAGAGAGUUUUAUUUAGCCGAAGGAAGGUGUUCUUUUUGUAGAGCUUUGGACUCAACAUCUUGUCCAGAGUUUGUUGAGUCGUACAACGUUGACAGGUUGUUGUAUUCUGGAGGGAACAAAUCAGAGUUAUAUUGCUGGACCAGUGAAGAUUAUACCGCAGUGGGCUUGAAUCUCCUUAAAGAGAGCGAGAUAUCCGCCCCUCAGCCUGAUAUUAAUUUAUUCUUUUUUGUUCACUUUAUUUUUCAACUGUAAUUUAUUGUAAUUUGUGGUAUAUUCACCAACAGGCAUUACUGGUGUUAAUUUGUUUUUGGAUAUGUAAAAUGCAUGUAUGACCUAUCAAGGCAUUCUCCAAUGUAAACUUUGAGUACUUAUUCAAACAUAUUUUUGCAUCAAUAUAGCUGCAAAUUUUAUAGUUGUGUAUC
This is an RNA transcript of Lycium barbarum (goji berry), 3857 nucleotides long. RefSeq lists it as uncharacterized. Lineage: Eukaryota; Viridiplantae; Streptophyta; Magnoliopsida; Solanales; Solanaceae. The record is from RefSeq and is a predicted model, not a curated record. The transcript has 2 exons.